Molecule: ribosomal RNA, 253 nt
Filed under: uncultured bacterium
Lineage: Bacteria
Description: partial 16S ribosomal RNA
Rfam family: Bacterial small subunit ribosomal RNA
Source: RNAcentral
UACGAAGGGGGCUAGCGUUGUUCGGAAUCACUGGGCGUAAAGCGCACGUAGGCGGACUUUUAAGUCAGGGGUGAAAUCCCAAGGCUCAACCUUGGAACUGCCUUUGAUACUGGAAGUCUUGAGUUCGGAAGAGGUGAGUGGAACUGCGAGUGUAGAGGUGAAAUUCGUAGAUAUUCGCAAGAACACCAGUGGCGAAGGCGGCUCACUGGUCCGAUACUGACGCUGAGGUGCGAAAGCGUGGGGAGCAAACAGG